AACCCAACAGCUAGCCCGCCCUCUAACUAUAACACACAAUUAUCAAUAAACCCUAAUACCCUAAACAAAGAAAAUAAAUCAUUUUACCCCCCUAGUACGGGCGACGGAACGGGGCCCUGGAGCUAUAGAGAAAGUACCGCAAGGGAAAGCUGAAAGAGAAAUGAAAUAAACCAGUAAAGUGAAGAAAAGCAGAGAUACACCCUCGUACCUUUUGCAUCAUGAUUUAGCAAGACACCCCAAGCAAAAAGAAUUUUAGUUUGACCACCCGAAACUAGGUGAGCUACUCCAAGACAGCCUGUUAGCAGGGCCAACCCGUCUCUGUGGCAAAAGAGUGGGAAAAGCUUCGAGUAGAGGUGACAAACCUACCGAACCUAGUUAUAGCUGGUUGCCCGGGAAGUGAAUAGCAGUUCAGCCCCUAGACUUCUAUAGUUUCGACUGGUACAACCUUUUCCCAAACAAUUAGAAAUCUAAGGAGUUAGUCAAAAGGGGUACAGCCCUUUUGACCCAGGAUACAACCUCACUAGGAGGAUAAAGACCAUAAUCAAGCAAAGGA
RNAcentral lists this ribosomal RNA (553 nucleotides) under Labidesthes sicculus (brook silverside). RNAcentral's name for it is "partial 16S large subunit ribosomal RNA". It matches the Rfam family "Bacterial large subunit ribosomal RNA", at positions 197 to 1065 of the family's 2925-position model. The record is from RNAcentral. Lineage: Eukaryota; Metazoa; Chordata; Actinopteri; Atheriniformes; Atherinopsidae.